GGACUACUGGGGUUUCUAAUCCCGUUUGAUCCCCUAGCUUUCGCGCCUCAGCGUCAGAAGAGGUCCAGCACAUCGCUUUCGCCACUGGCGUUCCUUCAGAUAUCUACGCAUUUCACCGCUCCACCUGAAGUUCCACAUGCCCCUACCUCCCUCUAGACAAUCAGUAUCAAAGGCACUUCUCCAGUUAAGCUGGAGGAUUUCACCAUUGACUUGAUCACCCGCCUACGCGCCCUUUAAGCCCAGUGAUUCCGAAUAACGUUUGCACGGUUCGUCUUACCGCGGCUGCUGGCAC
Molecule: unclassified non-coding RNA, 292 nt
Filed under: uncultured fungus
Lineage: Eukaryota; Fungi
Also listed under: 1 other name
Description: sequence contains ITS1
Source: RNAcentral